GCGGGUGCUAACGUCCGUCGUGAAGAGGGAAACAACCCAGACCGCCAGCUAAGGUCCCAAAGUCAUGGUUAAGUGGGAAACGAUGUGGGAAGGCCCAGACAGCCAGGAUGUUGGCUUAGAAGCAGCCAUCAUUUAAAGAAAGCGUAAUAGCUCACUGGUCGAGUCGGCCUGCGCGGAAGAUGUAACGGGGCUAAACCAUGCACCGAAGCUGCGGCAGCGAACGUAUCACUUAAAGCGAUUCAGCGGGUUACGAUUGACGGAGCGAAGCGACGUCAAAGCGUAUACAAAGUCGAGUCGGUUUAAGGAUACGUUCGUUGGGUAGGGGAGCGUUCUGUAAGCCUGUGAAGGUGGCCUGUGAGGGUUGCUGGAGGUAUCAGAAGUGCGAAUGCUGACAUAAGUAACGAUAAAGCGGGUGAAAAGCCCGCUCGCCGGAAGACCAAGGGUUCCUGUCCAACGUUAAUCGGGGCAGGGUGAGUCGACCCCUAAGGCGAGGCCGAAAGGCGUAGUCGAUGGGAAACGGGUUAAUAUUCCCGUACUUGGUGUUACUGCGAAGGGGGGACGGAGAAGGCUAUGUUGGCCGGGCGACGGUUGUCCCGGUUUAAGCGUGUAGGUGUGUGUUCCAGGUAAAUCCGGUUCACUUUAACACUGAGGCGUGACGACGAGGCACUACGGUGCUGAAGCAACAAAUGCCCUGCUUCCAGGAAAAGCCUCUAAGCAUCAGGUAACAUCAAAUCGUACCCCAAACCGACACAGGUGGUCAGGUAGAGAAUACCAAGGCGCUUGAGAGAACUCGGGUGAAGGAACUAGGCAAAAUGGUGCCGUAACUUCGGGAGAAGGCACGCUGACAUGUAGGUGAAGUGAUUUACUCAUGGAGCUGAAGUCAGUCGAAGAUACCAGCUGGCUGCAACUGUUUAUUAAAAACACAGCACUGUGCAAACACGAAAGUGGACGUAUACGGUGUGACGCCUGCCCGGUGCCGGAAGGUUAAUUGAUGGGGUCAGCGCAAGCGAAGCUCCUGAUCGAAGCCCCGGUAAACGGCGGCCGUAACUAUAACGGUCCUAAGGUAGCGAAAUUCCUUGUCGGGUAAGUUCCGACCUGCACGAAUGGCGUAAUGAUGGCCAGGCUGUCUCCACCCGAGACUCAGUGAAAUUGAACUCGCUGUGAAGAUGCAGUGUACCCGCGGCAAGACGGAAAGACCCCGUGAACCUUUACUAUAGCUUGACACUGAACAUUGAGCCUUGAUGUGUAG
RNAcentral lists this ribosomal RNA (1249 nucleotides) under Salmonella enterica subsp. enterica serovar Richmond. RNAcentral describes it as "partial 23S ribosomal RNA". It matches the Rfam family "Bacterial large subunit ribosomal RNA", at positions 991 to 2141 of the family's 2925-position model. Lineage: Bacteria; Pseudomonadati; Pseudomonadota; Gammaproteobacteria; Enterobacterales; Enterobacteriaceae. The record is from RNAcentral.